AAUUGGAGAGUUUGAUCCUGGCUCAGGACGAACGCUGGCGGCGUGCCUAAUACAUGCAAGUCGAGCGGAGUCUUGUUGGAAGCUUGCUUCCAACCUGGCUUAGCGGCGGACGGGUGAGUAACACGUAGG
This 129-nucleotide ribosomal RNA is filed under the name Paenibacillus jilunlii. RNAcentral describes it as "partial 16S ribosomal RNA". It matches the Rfam family "Bacterial small subunit ribosomal RNA", at positions 1 to 121 of the family's 1533-position model. Lineage: Bacteria; Bacillati; Bacillota; Bacilli; Caryophanales; Paenibacillaceae. The record is from RNAcentral.